UGCAAGUCGAACGGUGAAGUCCCAGCUUGCUGGGAUGGAUCAGUGGCGAACGGGUGAGUAACACGUGAGCAACCUGCCCUCCACUUCGGGAUAAGCCUUGGAAACGGGGUCUAAUACCGGAUAUGAGCCUGCAUCGCAKGGUGUGGGUUGGAAAGUUUUUCGGUGGGGGAUGGGCUCGCGGCCUAUCAGCUUGUUGGUGGGGUGAUGGCCUACCAAGGCGUCGACGGGUAGCCGGCCUGAGAGGGCGACCGGCCACACUGGGACUGAGACACGGCCCAGACUCCUACGGGAGGCAGCAGUGGGGAAUAUUGCACAAUGGGCGCAAGCCUGAUGCAGCGACGCCGCGUGAGGGAUGACGGCCUUCGGGUUGUAAACCUCUUUCAGCAGGGAARAAGCGCAAGUGACGGUACCUGCAGAAGAAGCGCCGGCUAACUACGUGCCAGCAGCCGCGGUAAUACGUAGGGCGCAAGCGUUGUCCGGAAUUAUUGGGCGUAAAGAGCUCGUAGGCGGUCUGUCGCGUCUGGUGUGAAAUCCCGAGGCUCAACCUCGGGCUUGCAUCGGGUACGGGCAGACUAGAGUGCGGUAGGGGAGACUGGAAUUCCUGGUGUAGCGGUGGAAUGCGCAGAUAUCAGGAGGAACACCGAUGGCGAAGGCAGGUCUCUGGGCCGCAACUGACGCUGAGGAGCGAAAGCAUGGGGAGCGAACAGGAUUAGAUACCCUGGUAGUCCAUGCCGUAAACGUUGGGCACUAGGUGUGGGGCUCAUUCCACGAGUUCCGUGCCGCAGCUAACGCAUUAAGUGCCCCGCCUGGGGAGUACGGCCGCAAGGCUAAAACUCAAAGGAAUUGACGGGGGCCCGCACAAGCGGCGGAGCAUGCGGAUUAAUUCGAUGCAACGCGAAGAACCUUACCAAGGCUUGACAUGCACCGGAAACACUCAGAGAUGGGUGCCCCGUAAGGUCGGUGCACAGGUGGUGCAUGGUUGUCGUCAGCUCGUGUCGUGAGAUGUUGGGUUAAGUCCCG
Molecule: ribosomal RNA, 1020 nt
Filed under: Isoptericola sp.
Lineage: Bacteria; Bacillati; Actinomycetota; Actinomycetes; Micrococcales; Promicromonosporaceae
Description: bacterial SSU rRNA
Rfam family: Bacterial small subunit ribosomal RNA
Source: RNAcentral